Molecule: ribosomal RNA, 491 nt
Filed under: uncultured bacterium
Lineage: Bacteria
Description: partial 16S ribosomal RNA
Rfam family: Bacterial small subunit ribosomal RNA
Source: RNAcentral
GUGCACGCUGGCGGUAGGCCUAACACAUGCAAGUCGAACGGUAGCACAGUAAGAGCUUGCUCUUACGGGUGGCGAGUGGCGGACGGGUGAGGAAUACAUCGGAAUCUACUUUUUCGUGGGGGAUAACGUAGGGAAACUUACGCUAAUACCGCAUACGACCUACGGGUGAAAGCAGGGGAUCUUCGGACCUUGCGCGAUUGAAUGAGCCGAUGUCGGAUUAGCUAGUUGGCGGGGUAAAGGCCCACCAAGGCGACGAUCCGCAGCUGGUCUGAGAGGAUGAUCAGCCACACUGGAACUGAGACACGGUCCAGACUCCUACGGGAGGCAGCAGUGGGGAAUAUUGGACAAUGGGCGCAAGCCUGAUCCAGCCAUACCGCGUGGGUGAAGAAGGCCUUCGGGUUGUAAAGCCCUUUUGUUGGGAAAGAAAAGCAGCAGGUUAAUACCCCGCUGUUCUGACGGUACCCAAAGAAUAAGCACCGGCUAACUUCGUG